This 683-nucleotide ribosomal RNA is filed under the name Burkholderia cepacia. RNAcentral describes it as "bacterial SSU rRNA". It matches the Rfam family "Bacterial small subunit ribosomal RNA", at positions 382 to 1056 of the family's 1533-position model. The record is from RNAcentral. Lineage: Bacteria; Pseudomonadati; Pseudomonadota; Betaproteobacteria; Burkholderiales; Burkholderiaceae.
CCUGAUCCAGCAAUGCCGCGUGUGUGAAGAAGGCCUUCGGGUUGUAAAGCACUUUUGUCCGGAAAGAAAUCCUUGGCUCUAAUACAGUCGGGGGAUGACGGUACCGGAAGAAUAAGCACCGGCUAACUACGUGCCAGCAGCCGCGGUAAUACGUAGGGUGCAAGCGUUAAUCGGAAUUACUGGGCGUAAAGCGUGCGCAGGCGGUUUGCUAAGACCGAUGUGAAAUCCCCGGGCUCAACCUGGGAACUGCAUUGGUGACUGGCAGGCUAGAGUAUGGCAGAGGGGGGUAGAAUUCCACGUGUAGCAGUGAAAUGCGUAGAGAUGUGGAGGAAUACCGAUGGCGAAGGCAGCCCCCUGGGCCAAUACUGACGCUCAUGCACGAAAGCGUGGGGAGCAAACAGGAUUAGAUACCCUGGUAGUCCACGCCCUAAACGAUGUCAACUAGUUGUUGGGGAUUCAUUUCCUUAGUAACGUAGCUAACGCGUGAAGUUGACCGCCUGGGGAGUACGGUCGCAAGAUUAAAACUCAAAGGAAUUGACGGGGACCCGCACAAGCGGUGGAUGAUGUGGAUUAAUUCGAUGCAACGCGAAANACCUUACCUACCCUUGACAUGGUCGGAAUCCUGCCGAGAGGCGGGAGUGCUCGAAAGAGAACCGGCGCACAGGUGCUGCAUGGCUGUCGUC